This is a long non-coding RNA of Glycine soja, 403 nucleotides long. RefSeq lists it as uncharacterized. The record is from RefSeq and is a predicted model, not a curated record. The transcript is spliced from 3 exons. NCBI's taxonomy places the organism in Eukaryota, Viridiplantae, Streptophyta, Magnoliopsida, Fabales, Fabaceae.
UUACCCGCAAAACAAAUUUUAAUUUUAUUCUUUCUUUCCUUCAUCCAACAACAACAGAGUCACCCACUACGUUCUCUAAAAUUCACUCCCAAACCCUAAACCUCACAACACAUAGAGGUUCGCUUUUGGUCAGUUUCUCCGCCAUCGCAGUAGCACUCACAGCUUCACUAGGAAGUAGCUAGUCCAUUUGAUUACUGUGAUAUUGUCACCUCAACCACUCACAAAAGUCUCUGAGGUCCAAGGGGAGGUAUAUCUUUUAUAGAAGGGGGGCAAAACCAAGGAAAUUUCAGAUUGGUGAUUGAUGGGACCGACAAUCAUCUUUUGCUAUGGGAUCUAACAGCACUUGGCUUAAUUGAAUGAUGAUUGAUGUAGGUGUUCAUUCAGUUAUUUCUUUGAUUCUUGC